GGUUCUAUGGUAUAAUGGCCGACACUCUGGACUUUGAAUCCAGCAAUCCAAGUUCAAAUCUUGGUAGAAUCU
Molecule: transfer RNA, 72 nt
Filed under: Mustela putorius furo (domestic ferret)
Lineage: Eukaryota; Metazoa; Chordata; Mammalia; Carnivora; Mustelidae
Rfam family: tRNA
About the family: Transfer RNA (tRNA) molecules are approximately 80 nucleotides in length. Their secondary structure includes four short double-helical elements and three loops (D, anti-codon, and T loops). Further hydrogen bonds mediate the characteristic L-shaped molecular structure. tRNAs have two regions of fundamental functional importance: the anti-codon, which is responsible for specific mRNA codon recognition, and the 3' end, to which the tRNAs corresponding amino acid is attached (by aminoacyl-tRNA synthetases). tRNAs cope with the degeneracy of the genetic code in two manners: having more than one tRNA (with a specific anti-codon) for a particular amino acid; and 'wobble' base-pairing, i.e. permitting non-standard base-pairing at the 3rd anti-codon position.
Source: Rfam by way of RNAcentral